This 1377-nucleotide ribosomal RNA is filed under the name Klebsiella quasipneumoniae. RNAcentral describes it as "partial 23S ribosomal RNA". It matches the Rfam family "Bacterial large subunit ribosomal RNA", at positions 1585 to 2925 of the family's 2925-position model. The record is from RNAcentral. Lineage: Bacteria; Pseudomonadati; Pseudomonadota; Gammaproteobacteria; Enterobacterales; Enterobacteriaceae.
CUGAAGUAACAAAUGCCCUGCUUCCAGGAAAAGCCUCUAAGCAUCAGGUAACAUCAAAUCGUACCCCAAACCGACACAGGUGGUCAGGUAGAGAAUACCAAGGCGCUUGAGAGAACUCGGGUGAAGGAACUAGGCAAAAUGGUGCCGUAACUUCGGGAGAAGGCACGCUGGUGUGUAGGUGAAGUCCCUGCGGAUGGAGCUGAGACCAGUCGAAGAUACCAGCUGGCUGCAACUGUUUAUUAAAAACACAGCACUGUGCAAACACGAAAGUGGACGUAUACGGUGUGACGCCUGCCCGGUGCCGGAAGGUUAAUUGAUGGGGUUAUCCGUAAGGAGAAGCUCUUGAUCGAAGCCCCGGUAAACGGCGGCCGUAACUAUAACGGUCCUAAGGUAGCGAAAUUCCUUGUCGGGUAAGUUCCGACCUGCACGAAUGGCGUAAUGAUGGCCAGGCUGUCUCCACCCGAGACUCAGUGAAAUUGAACUCGCUGUGAAGAUGCAGUGUACCCGCGGCAAGACGGAAAGACCCCGUGAACCUUUACUAUAGCUUGACACUGAACAUUGAGCCUUGAUGUGUAGGAUAGGUGGGAGGCUUUGAAGCGUGGACGCCAGUCUGCGUGGAGCCAACCUUGAAAUACCACCCUUUAAUGUUUGAUGUUCUAACGUUGGCCCCUUAUCGGGGUUGCGGACAGUGUCUGGUGGGUAGUUUGACUGGGGCGGUCUCCUCCCAAAGCGUAACGGAGGAGCACGAAGGUUAGCUAAUCCUGGUCGGACAUCAGGAGGUUAGUGCAAUGGCAUAAGCUAGCUUGACUGCGAGCGUGACGGCGCGAGCAGGUGCGAAAGCAGGUCAUAGUGAUCCGGUGGUUCUGAAUGGAAGGGCCAUCGCUCAACGGAUAAAAGGUACUCCGGGGAUAACAGGCUGAUACCGCCCAAGAGUUCAUAUCGACGGCGGUGUUUGGCACCUCGAUGUCGGCUCAUCACAUCCUGGGGCUGAAGUAGGUCCCAAGGGUAUGGCUGUUCGCCAUUUAAAGUGGUACGCGAGCUGGGUUUAGAACGUCGUGAGACAGUUCGGUCCCUAUCUGCCGUGGGCGCUGGAGAAUUGAGGGGGGCUGCUCCUAGUACGAGAGGACCGGAGUGGACGCAUCACUGGUGUUCGGGUUGUCAUGCCAAUGGCACUGCCCGGUAGCUAAAUGCGGAAGAGAUAAGUGCUGAAAGCAUCUAAGCACGAAACUUGCCCCGAGAUGAGUUCUCCCUGAGACUUUAAGUCUCCUGAAGGAACGUUAAAGACGAUGACGUUGAUAGGCCGGGUGUGUAAGCGCAGCGAUGCGUUGAGCUAACCGGUACUAAUGAACCGUGAGGCUUAACCUUACAACGCCGAAG